RNAcentral lists this ribosomal RNA (1525 nucleotides) under uncultured bacterium. RNAcentral describes it as "16S ribosomal RNA". It matches the Rfam family "Bacterial small subunit ribosomal RNA". The record is from RNAcentral.
GUUUGAUCCUGGCUCAGGAUAAACGCUAGCGGUGCGCCUAACACAUGCAAGUCGAGCGAUCGAACUGGACUGAUCACCCUUCGGGGUGAGAGGACCAGUGACGGAGCGGCGGACUGGUGAGUAACGCGUAGCUAACCUACCCCCUUGACGGAGAUAACUACCUGAAAGGGUAGCUAAUAUACGAUAUUGCUCGAGAUCGAAAGAUCUUGAGCCAAAGGCGGUCUUGCCGUCGCAAGAGGAGGGGGCUGCGUCCUAUUAGCUUGUUGGUGGGGUAAUGGCCCACCAAGGCGAUGAUGGGUAGCUGGUCUGAGAGGAUGGCCAGCCACAUUGGGACUGAGAUACGGCCCAGACUCCUACGGGAGGCAGCAGUGGGGAAUCUUUCGCAAUGGGCGAAAGCCUGACGGAGCGACACCGCGUGGGGGAUGAAGGCUUUCGGGUUGUAAACCUCUUUUCUGGGGGAAGAAUAAGGGCGGGAGGAAAUGCCCGUCCGAUGACGGUACCCCAGGAAUAAGCAUCGGCUAACUUCGUGCCAGCAGCCGCGGUAAGACGAAGGAUGCAAGCGUUAUCCGGAAUUACUGGGCGUAAAGGGCGCCUAGGCGGCUGAGUAAGUCACCCGUGAAAGCCCUCAGCUCAACUGAGGAAUGUCGAGUGAAACUGCCCAGCUUGGGUGCAGGAGAGGAGGGUGGAACUCACAGAGUAGCGGUGGAAUGCGUAGAUACUGUGAGGUACCCCGAUGGCGAAGGCAACCCUCUGGCCUGCUACCGACGCUGAAGCGCGAAAGCGUNGGGGAGCAAAGGGGAUUAGAUACCCCCGUAGUCCACGCCGCAAACGAUGUUCACUGGGUGUCGGUCGCUAAUACAGAUCGGUGCCGGAGCUAACGCGUUAAGUGANCCGCCUNGGGGAGUACGGCCGCAAGGCUAAANCUCANGANAAUUGACGGGGCCCCGCACAAGCGGUGGNGCACGUGGUUUAAUUCGAUGAUAAGCGAAGAACCUCACCUGGGUUUGACAUGCUAGUGGUAGGAACCGGAAACGGGGACGACCCUUGCCUUCGGGUAAGGGAGCUAGUACAGGUGAUGCAUGGCUGUCGUCAGUUCGUGUCGUGGGACGUUGGGUUAAGUCCCGAAACGAGCGCAACCCCUGUCGUCAGUUGCCAGCGGGUAAAGCCGGGGACUCUGACGAGACUGCCGGUGAAUAGCCGGAGGAAGGAGGGGAUGACGUCAAGUCAUCAUGUCCCUUAUGCCCAGGGCGACACACAUGCUACAAUGGGGGGUACAAAGGGCUGCAAUGCCGUAAGGCUAAGCCAAUCCCAAAAAACCUUCCUCAGUUCGGAUUGAGGUCUGUAACUCGACCUCAUGAAGCCGGAAUCGCUAGUAAUCGCAGGUCAGCCACACUGCGGUGAAUAUGUACUCGGGGCUUGUACACACCGCCCGUCACACCAACCGAGUGGGGGGUACUUAAAGUCGCUCUUUAUAGAGCGCCAAGGGUAACCUCCGCAAGAGGGGUGAAGUCGUAACAAGGUAACC